RNAcentral lists this long non-coding RNA (14689 nucleotides) under Pelobates cultripes (western spadefoot toad). Lineage: Eukaryota; Metazoa; Chordata; Amphibia; Anura; Pelobatidae. The record is from RNAcentral.
AUCUUCAAAAUUGUGAGUGACCAUUUGUGAUCACACAUCAAUACCAGUCUCCACACAGUUAUAUGCUAUGUUUUUUAUUUGUAUUUAGCAGAUUGUCCCCUAUUUUUCUGUGUGUUCAUUUAAAGUGUACCUGUCCUGGUAAUACAAGUUUAUUUAAAAUUUGAACCACAUAAAAUGUCUGCUAAAUAUUCCGUGAUCAGAAUCACUAGUCAAUAUAUAGAUUUGAUGACCUGUUUAGAAGUGUCCCCAGUGUCACCAGUUUUCUGCAUAGAGUUCUGAGAUCUAUAUACCAACAACUGAGUGACACGAGCAGAACACACUCCCAAGUGGCGCUGCUCUGUCUCGUCAACCAAAACACUUGCUAUGAUUUUGUCCUGGUGCGUGCUAGAACAUUAUAUUAUGGUUUUGCUAGAACAUAUGGAUUUACUUCAUUAUAGCCCUAUAAUGGAGCCAGUGUGUUGGCAUCAAAGGGGCAGGAAUAACCAUGAAUGUAGGCAGGAUCAGUGUGUCUGUGGGUUUUACAGUAACACACAUACACACUGGGUUUCGGCAGUGCUGGUACUGCUGAGGAAGAGGUAACCAUUUGUUGUCUCAAUCAAUUACAGAAUGUCACUAUGACUAAUUACAUAUUCGCUGUAUACGGUGAUGUUAAGACAGUGUCACUUUGAGUCUAGAAAUAACUACAGUUGUUGCUCCCAUGUUCUUGGACACAGGAGUUAGUACUCCUCUUCAUCGUUAAUUAGGACCCAACACCAAACCAUGUGCAAUGUCAGAGUCAUAGUGACAGGUUUAUUUAUUGAAGAGAUGUUGUGGUCACCGAUACAGGUCCUGAGUUUGUUAGGUGAUUCUAAGAACCUAUGUUGCAGCUUAUACUUUGUAAAGGGGGUUUAAAGCACUGACUUAACUAGGUUAGUUAUUGUGUACAAUACACUGACCUGCUAAUCCCAUACCUAUUACAUCUCAACUUUAUAUUCUUAUCAGAUAAUUCUGUAAGAGAAAUUGGCCAGGGACACUUACAUGUAAAAUGAUACAAUUAACAAUUGGAUUCAUUAAGACUAUUUUUUUAAUGUCUUCUCACUUAAAAAUAAAAUCCCAGAUCUUCCCAGAAUUUUUUCCCCAAUCCAGUACACCUCUUGCUGCUAGAAAAAAAAUGGCUGUUUAUUGGAAACUGUGCAAUCAAACAUUGUUUGCAAAAACUGCUCCAACCUCUGUUAAUAAUCUGAUUGUUACACAAUCCUCCAACCACUCUUUAAUUUGUCUUAUGCAGUAAAAUGAUGGCCUUAAAGUCUGUGAAUAAAGAAAGCCGACCUUACAGGCUGCACCCAGCCAACAUACUUCCUUUUUACAAACCCAUGUGACAAGGCACAGGUCAUCACAUAUUAGACUGUCCAUGCGCGCCUAUAAUCCUUUCACAACAGACAGAAGUCGUAGGUGGCUGGUAAGGGUACAAGGAAGCUUUCUAACAGUGGUUCCCAACCCAGUCCUCAAGUACCCCUAACAGUCAGGAAGUUGGGGGAUUACCCAGCUGUGUUUUUAGAAAAAGAAAAACAUGUUGGACAAAACAAGGUAAUCUCUAAAUCAUGGAUUGAUAGGGGUUACUUGAGGACUGGGUUGGGAACCCCUGCUCUGACAAGUUGUACUAAAAAAAACAUCCUUCCUGUAAAUGCAUAAAUAUCAGAUUAUUGUUAAAAUAGAUCAUAUUACCCAGCAGUCCCAGAUCUGGUGACCGUUCUGAAUCAAUAAAACUAUGGUGUCGUGCUUCUUUGGACACAAAAUAGAAUCCACAAGGUACAGCGCAAAUGUGUCAUAGAACAUGUUAGUGGUUAUUUAGCUCAUAUCUGCAUAUACGAGGGCAAUUUAUCAAUGCUGCAUUCAUAGGGCACGAACAUUCGCUUUAAUCGCCAGCUGUCUAGUUUCACACAGCGGAAUUUAUUAGAAAAGCCCCUGAUGGGUCAUAUCCAUCCCACAGCGCUCAUGUCAGACAGUAAUGGUCGAAUACUACAAUACGUUUUGCAAAACAAGACCGUUCUGUUUAUAUUUCCCGGCCUGAUAGAAGAAAUUAUUCUAAGGCAAUAACUAAGUUUAAAAAAUAAGUCAAAAAGUCCUGGGAGGGAGAGUGGAAAUAUUAUUGGUCGUAUGUAUUUAUGCUUCGUUUUAAAUUGGCUCUCAAAGCACCAUAGCCACUACAAUAUGUUGUAGUUUUUAUGGUGGUAGACAUAUUACUGCAUUUCUUUUGGCUGUUGCCCAGCAGCUUGGUUAGACACUUUUCUGAACCUUCUCCUGUUUGUAUUUGUUAGGUGUUAUGUUUUGAACCAACAUCGAGGAUGCUACUAAUAAUACUUGAUUAACACUAACAUUAGCCAUACAAGAUAAGCAGAGUUAAGAACUAAACUGUGAAAUUGUGGCCACGGAGCAGGGAAUUGCAAUUUUUAUUUCAAAGUAGCCAAGUUCAGGGGAAAAAUAUGGAGUGGAAUAAAACAAUUUACAGUUUUGAGUAUUUAUGGCUUAUAAUUUGUCAAUUCCGUGGUCCAUUCCAGACAGGAUAAUCCCAUUUUAGUGGAUUUACUAAAAGUUGUAAAAGUAGAUCAAUCCCAAUUUGAGGUUUCAGCUGAUUGAUCCAGCUUUAGAAAGUGGCUUUAGAAAGAUUCUUUAAGGUCCUAGACCUACAUCAUCCUGAACACUAACAGAGUAGGCCAUUAACAUACAAGACACAAAAAAAAAAAAAAAGUUUCUGCCGAUUAGUCCAAAUCAAAAAUCCUUGUAAUCCUCAACCAAAAAAAAAAUCUAAUCGCCUAGGAUAAGACGUCACUGGUAAAUCCCAGAUUAAUCUCUUCGUUUGGGUGCAGAGUUAAAAGGAUUUUGAUUCUUUUAAAAAAAAUUUAAAAAAGGCUAAAACGCAUUUUUGCACAAGUCUAGUACACUAAUAAAAUGUCUUAAUUCUAAGAGAUAUUGAUUAAUAAAUAGUGAGAGUAGAACACUGGAGAUAUAUUACUUUUUGCCAUGAAGUGGCAUGUUUGUAUUUUUCUGCUACCCUUCCACGAUUCUUUCUAAAUGUAUACAGUUGUUUGGCAUUUGAAGACUGUACAGGAGUAAACAUGAAACGGCAAAAUGCAUCCUUGCGCUUGCUGAAGCACAACUACCUCGGAAUGUUUAUUAAAGCAGUAUCAAUGGUUCAGUGUGCUUGUUUCUCUCUUCUCCGCACCGAGACCCCAGUAUGCUAAACCUUGUCACCCACCAAGUCUUGGAAUAUUUCAGAUCUCUAUAUAAUUCCUAAAAUAAAACAAAUGCAUGUUUCAGGCUGUAGUGGAUGGAAGAUCAGCUUAAUGUAUGUAUUUAAUUAUAGCGCCAUAAAUAAAAUGGCAAAUACGCUCGAUUAACAUUCCUUCAAUAACACAUCCUCUCCCCCCCCACCAAAAAAUAUUUUGUUCUGUUUUUGAGAAGAUGGUUGAGGAUGCUACUCAAUUUGUGGCCCAAACAUUCUAAUGAAAUUCUAAUGACAGAUGCUGCACUUGUUUUCUGAUGUGCUUUAAUUUGAUUCGCUAAUGUUUUCUAAUGAAGAGUUGUUGUUGGUAAAUGUUUCUACUGAGUAACUAUCUGUGCUUUGCAGCAAUGGCACAUGGUGGUGAAACAAAUUAAAAGACGUUUGUUGGGAACCUUUUUCUUUGUGAAUGUACUUUUCAGGUUUUUUUUUUGUUUUGUUUUUUAAUUAUAUUACAUUGUAACAAUUAUAUUUCAGUAACAAUGAAAUAAGUAUACAACAUAAAUAUUACACUAAACAGAUAAAAAGAAAAUCUGGAAGGGGGUCUAUAUUAUUUUAUAAACAAUAGAAUCAAUCCCAUCAGACAUAUUAUACAAGUAUUCUUAAAAUUGUCUACAAUAUUUGACCAUACAUCAAUAAAGUCUGCGAGGAAAAUUUGCAUUUGGUUAAGUAUUGUAUUUUUCUUUAUCGAUUUCCCCCAGCCCGUGGAUUCCACACCUUUCCUAAUGUUGCACAUAUUGUAGACUAUUUUGUCAUGUUCAUAGCCCUUAUUUUCAAUAAUCAAUGAUAUCUCUUUUUUACUUGGUAUAGUAGGGGAUUUCUAAUAUCUUAGGAUAGUGGAAGUAGCUGCAAUUAGUAUGUCGGAUUAUGGAAAAUUGUUUCAUACUUACCGUAAUUUUCUUUUCUUGAUAAUUUACUCAUGGGUUAGCUCCUCCCCUUAGAGCAGAAAGGACAGGAAACAGAACUUUGAAACUGGUAUAAAUAGAUCCUCCCCCUUCCCAUCAGGCAGUCUUUGUAACUAGCUUCACAACUCCUAUAGUAUAUGGGUGGGAACGUAAUGCUGCCAUGAAUAAUUAUCAGGAAAAGAAAAUUACGGUAAGUAUGAAACAAUUUUCCAUUUUUCCUGACCAUUAUUCAUGGCAGCAUUUACUCAUGGGGAAUACCCAAGCAGUAUAUAUCGAGGGAGGGACAGAGUUCAAAAACAGCUAAUAGCUAUAAAACCAUUAUUGAGCUGUAUAAAUCUUAGAAGACUUUACAAAGCCAAACAAGAAUAAAUAUGAAAUUGUCAUAAAAUCUGCUCAGACAAGAUAAUUUUCCCUAGAGGCUGCAAGGUCAGCAACCUCCUGGCAUUCAAUAUCUGAAAUAUCCUCAAUAAAUAUAGAGCCAAAUAGGCAUUAAGGCCCUGAUAGCCUAGUCUAUAGAAGGAACAAGGCUAGAGAACCUCAAUGAAACCCAGACACAGUCUAGAAAUUAUAGAUCCAUUAUGUCAACAAGAAAGGAUAAUGUCCUUCUCUGAUAUAAAUUUAAAAUCAAAUGGAUGGCAUCAUCAAAUCAGAACCUUGACAAAGGCUUAACUUCCAGAAACCAUACUGGAACAAUCAGACACUGUUGGAUGAGAACAGUCACACCAUGCUAUUAAACAUGGGGAGAAUUACACUGAGAAUCCCACUACUUUCUGGAUGUAUUUAUUAAAGACAAUUCACAUUGCGUCCUCUUGCCUAGUGAACUACUUACCUGUAGAUACAGGAAACAAAUCAAUAUCUAUCUGCCUGUCAGAAAGAGGCAGAGCCUAGCAGAGAAAUAAGAGCCGGUUAUAAAAAAAACACUGCAACAAUGAAUAUAUAUUGCAAAAUCAGACUCACAACAAUACUACACACCGUGGAUGAAUUGAUACAGCAAUGAUCAGUUACAGGAGAGGUAUAAACCAAUAACAUUACUAGGCAAAGGCAAAAAGAAUCAUAUACAGAUUAGUUGAGGAAAAAAGAAAUAUGGGUAUGAACCAUAGAAUUUGUGGCAAAUACUAAAUUAUAAGUAGGCAAUGUAGGCCAACCACGUCAGUACCUACAUUCAAAGAUAAACAUAUUGUAAAUAGUACAGAUUAUGCCAAACGGCAUAAUCAAAUUUAUUAGAGACUGUCGUGCAACCUGAGUAGGAGAUAUGCAAUAGGCACAUUGUACAUUGUGGCAACAGACAUAAUAAGCAGGAUAGUAGAAGAUAUUCAGUUAUCCUUAUGAGAACAAACAACCGCAUACUUACUCUUACCUUAUCUUCAGAUAGUGAUGAAGUACUUAUGGCAGAGCCUAUGGUGAUAAUAAGCAACUUGUUAUAUCUGCAAGAUAUCAACACCAAUCCAAACAUAUAAUCCACAAGUAUUAAAUCAAUGCAAUGUUAGGAGUGACCAUAACUUAUACCGAUCUAGGUACAGAGACCCUGUAAAACAUAUCAGUCAAAUGUUUGUCAUCAACAAGCUGCAUUACAUUAUAUUAUGCAGGAUGAAUCAACCAUUUAAAGCCACACAUUGGUUGCAAAUUCCAGAUAUAAGGACACCUAGAAGAAUCCCCAUGAAUAUCAGAAGAGGUCCGUAAUGGAACUACCUGUUUAGGGAUUUCCUCUAUUGUUCAGGUAGCAGGUGAAUGUUACCUGAAAUAGUAAACCUGGUAGAAUGGUCUGGGGACUGGAAAGACCUUAAAAUACUUGCAAUACACAGCAUCAAAGUUACCUGGAGCAUAUGAGCCUAAAAGAAUACCUUUAUUGCAGAAAGGAAAUUAUAAUGUUCCCCUUCACAACAGGAGAAUCGGUCAGAAGUUUCUGAUCAUUAACUCCUUAAGAACCAAAAGCAUGCCACUCCUGACAUACUAAACGGGAUUGCCAAACUUUCAGGUCCCCAAGGGAUAAAAGAGAAUACUGAAUAAAAAGUAUAAAGCAGACCAGGAGUAGUGAAUUUUUCAGAGCAGAAGCUUGCAGAAAAUACAAUGAUACUAAAGUUCUGACCAGAUGAAAGAAAAAGACAAUAUUAACAGCUUUUAAAUCAGGUAAAUUAGAUUAUAGAAAGAAAAGAAAUAUAUCAGAGAAAACAGUCAGGUAAUUGUUUCAGCGUUACCUACUUAGGAGAUCAAUAAAUAGCCCAAUUUGUGCUCCUGCAACCAGCAAGAUCUACUAAGCUGUGCAUCAGCAGUCAGCACGAUCUACUAAGCUGUGCAUCAGCAAUCAGCACGAUCUACUAAGCUGUGCAUCAGUAAUCAGCACGAUCUACUAAGCUGUGCAUCAGCAAUCAGCACGAUCUACUAAGCUGUGCAUCAGCAAUCAGCACGAUCUACUAAGCUGUGCAUCAGCAAUCAGCACGAUCUACUAAGCUGUGCAUCAGCAGUCAGCACGAUCUACUAAGCUGUGCAUCAGCAGUCAGCACGAUCUACUAAGCUGUGCAUCAAUAAUCAGCAUGAUCUACUAAGCUGUGCAUCAGCAAUCAGCACGAUCUACUAAGCUGUGCAUCAGCAGUCAGCACGAUCUACUAAGCUGUGCAUCAGUAAUCAGCACGAUCUACUAAGCUGUGCAUCAGCAAUCAGCACGAUCUACUAAGCUGUGCAUCAGCAGUCAGCACGAUCUACUAAGCUGUGCAUCAGCAAUCAGCACGAUCUACUAAGCUGUGCAUCAGCAGUCAGCACGAUCUACUGCUUUCGUGCGCAUCAAUAAUAAUCAGCAUGAUCUACUGGCUGCAUCAGCAAUCAGCACGACUACUGCUCGUGCAUCAAAGCAGUCAGCACGCAUCUACUAAGCUGCGUAAUCAGCAAUCAAAGCACCUGACCUACUAAGCUGCAUCGUUAAAUCAAAGCACCCAUCUACCAAGCCAGCAUCAAGUAAUCAUACCCAUCUACCGUUGCGCAUCAGCAAUCAGCACGAUCUACUAAGCUGUGCAUCAGCAAUCAGCACGAUCUACUAAGCUGUGCAUCAGCAAUCAGCACGAUCUACUAAGCUGUGCAUCAGCAAUCAGCACAAUCUACUAAGCUGUGCAUCAGCAGUCAGCACGAUCUACUAAGCUGUGCAUCAGCAAUCAGCACGAUCUACUAAGCUGUGCAUCAGUAAUCAGCACGAUCUACUAAGCUGUGCAUCAGCAAUCAGCACGAUCUACUAAGCUGUGCAUCAGCAAUCAGCACGAUCUACUAAGCUGUGCAUCAAUAAUCAGCAUGAUCUACUAAGCUGUGCAUCAGUAAUCAGCAUGAUCUACUAAACUGUGCAUCAGCAAUCAGCAUAUAUCUGAAGGUAAAACACUGCCACCAAUUGAAGAAACAUUCCCUAUCUUGUACAGAGAGGAGAGGAUGCCUGGCAAUAGAAACCCUUAUGUAGAAUGGUCUCAUGUAUAAUUACAUAGGUAUGCACACAAAAAACAACAUUGAUUAUGUUAGACAUUACCAUGCUCCACUUUGGAAAUUCAGGUCUCCUUCUCUCCUGGGAGAGGCGCUCAGACAGGUUCAGUAACACUUGCAAUCUAUUUGAAGUGGUAAAAUGUGUUAAUUGCUUAUCCUGAAACACCUGUCGGAGAAGGAAUAUAAUACAAAGCCAAAAGCAGUUUGUUUCCUUAUCUACUUCAUUUAAAAAACUGAAAUAGAAAAUCCACAGUAGGCAAUAGUUACUUACCCAGUAGAACAGGGCAUUUGUAUUUGCUAGAACUGGGCAGUGCUACAUUUCAGCGCAAAACAGACAUUAGAUUAUUUGUAUAUAUUAAAUCUACCAAUGCCGUGUAUAAAUUGGGGUUAUAUAAUACUACCAACCUGCAUACAGAUUAUAUGAAUCACAUACAUUGUGGAUGUUUCUGACAGCACCUUAUGCCCAGAUAUAUCAGUUACAUAUACUGAGUCUGUUUAAACAGUAAUCAUACAUAGCCUACCUCUGCUAUAUACAGUGACACUAUGCCUGCACACAUAUUAAGAUUAUUUGAGCGAGCUAAAUUGAGGCUGUGUUUUAACAGAGCUUCAUGCACAUAUUAUACCACUCACAUAUACUGAGGUUGUGACUAACAACCACACAUAGAACUUGUAUUAGAUUGGACUCAUAGAGGAUGUACUUAUAUAAUUCACAUAUAUUGUGUUUCCACUAAUACAUCAAUCAUAUAGAGAACAGAUACACUGAAGCAAUGUCUCCACACCACCUUACAUAUAGAAGACAUAUACUGAGGCUGUGUAUUCACAGCAACACAGAGCAUAUAAAGAACACAAACUGAGGAAGAGUCUUCAGAUCAACUCAUACAUAGACAAUAUAGUGGGUACAAAUACUGAGGUGAUGUCCUCAUAGAAUUCAUACAUAGAGCAUAUAGUGCAUACAUAUACAUAGAAACAUAGAAUGUGACGGCAGAUAAGAACCAUUCGGCCCAUCUAAUCUGCCCAAUAUUUCUAAAUACUUUCAUUAGUCCCUGGCCUUAUCUUAUAGUUAGGAUAGCCUUAUGCCUAUCCCACGCAUGAUUAAACUCCUUUACUGUGUUAUACUGAGGCAGCACCCUCAUUGUAGCUCAUACAUAGAGCAUAUAGUGGGUACAUAUACUGAGGCUGUGUCCUCACAGUAACUCAUACAUAGAGCAUAUAGUGGGUACAUAUACUGAGGCUGUGUCCUCACUGUAACUCAUACAUAGAGCAUAUAGUGGGUAGAUAUACUGAGGCUGUGUCCUCAUAGUAACUCAUACAUAGAGCAUAUAGUGGGUAGAUAUACUGAGGCUGUGUCCUCACAGUAACCCAUACAUAGAGCAUAUAGUGGGUACAUAUACUGAGGCUGUGUCCUCACUGUAACUCAUACAUAGAGCAUAUAGUGGGUACAUAUACUGAGGCUGUGUCCUCACUGUAACUCAUACAUAGAGCAUAUAGUGGGUACAUAUACAGAGGCUGUGUCCUCACAGUAACUCAUACAUAGAGCCUAUAGUGGGUACAUAUACUGAGGCUGUGUCCUCACAGUAACUCAUACAUAGAGCAUAUAGUGGGUACACAUACUGAGGCUGUGUCCUUAUUGUAACUCAUACAUAGAGCAUAUAGUGGGUACAUAUACUGAGGCUGUGUCCUCACUGUAACUCAUACAUAGAGCAUAUAGUGGGUACAUAUACUGAGGCUGUGUCCUCACAGUAACUCAUACAUAGAGCCUAUAUUGGGUACAUAUACUGAGGCUGUGUCCUUAUUGUAACUCAUACAUAGAGCAUAUAGUGGGUACAUAUACUGAGGCUGUGUCCUCACUGUAACCUCAUACACAGAGCACACAUAGUGGGAUGGGCCAUUAAGGGCCUCGAGGCUGUAACCCCAUUGUAACUCAUACAUAGAGCAUAUAGUGGCACACAUACUGAGUAGCUGUGUCCCAUUGUAACCAUACAUAGAGCAUAAAGGAAGUGGGGCACAUAUACUGAGGCUGAAGUCCUCAAUGCACCUCAUACAUAGAGCAUAUAGUGGGUGCUACAUACUGAGGCUACUGUGUCCUCACAGUAACUCAUACAUAGAGCAUAGUGGAUACAUAUACUGAGGCUGUGUCCUUAUUGUAACUCAUACAUAGAGCAUAUAGUGAGUACAUAUACUGAGGCUGUGUCCUCACGGUAACUCAUACAUAGAGCAUAUAGUGGGUACAUAUACUGAGGCUGUGUCCUCAUUGUAACUCAUACAUAGAGCAUAUAGUGAGUACAUAUACUGAGGCUGUGUCCUCACAGUAACUCAUACAUAGAGCAUAUAGUGGGUACAUAUACUGAGGCAGUGUCCUCACAGUAACUCAUACAUAGAGCAUAUAGUGGGUACAUAUACUGAGGCUGUGUCCUCACAGUAACUCACACAUACAGCAUAUAGUGGGUACAUAUACUGAGGCUGUGUCCUCACAGUAACUCAUACAUAGAGCAUAUAGUGGGUACACAUACUGAGGCUGUGUCCUUAUUGUAACUCAUACAUAGAGCAUAUAGUGGGUACAUAUACUGAGGCUGUGUCCUCACUGUAACUCAUACAUAGAGCAUAUAGUGGGUACAUAUACUGAGGCUGUGUCAUCACAGUAACUCAUACAUACAGCAUAUAGUGGGUACAUAUACUGAGGCUGUGUCCUGACAGUAACUCAUACAUAGAGCAUAUAGUGGGUACAUAUANNNNNNNNNNNNNNNNNNNNNNNNNNNNNNNNNNNNNNNNNNNNNNNNNNNNNNNNNNNNNNNNNNNNNNNNNNNNNNNNNNNNNNNNNNNNNNNNNNNNUGGCUGACCAGUCCCAUAACGAUCAGUUAGAUAUGGAUUACGACUGAAUUGAUUGAAUUCUCAAAGUAUGUUUCAAAACCCAGGACCUGGAUUCAUUUUCUGUAAAGUAAAUUUUUUGGUGCUGGUAUUGCCUUUACUGCAUUAAAAUGGUUCGUUUAUAAUAUAAUAGUACUGUCCCUUUUUAUUGAAGGUAAGACUUUGACCCAGUAGUGUUAAAUAGAUCCACCAUUUUUUCUGAAUCAAAUAACCAGUGCGAGAUCCCAUUAGUGAUUAAUGAGUUUGCUACUAGCUAUAAGGUUGCACUUUUAAUAUGCUGCGUCAAUGUUUAUACACGAUAUACAUCCUGGAAUAUGCUGGCCCUUGUUACUGGUGUUUCAUUCAGAAGUGGAAUUCAUUACCUUUAAUUUUUCCUGAUGCAAAACCUGAUCCUUUAUGAUUUGGGACUUCAUUUAAAGUGUACCUGUCCUGGUAAUACAAGUUUAUUUAAAAUUUGAACCACAUAAAAUGUCUGCUAAAUAUUCCGUGAUCAGAAUCACUAGUCAAUAUAUAGAUUUGAUGACCUGUUUAGAAGUGUCCCCAGUGUCACCAGUUUUCUGCAUAGAGUUCUGAGAUCUAUAUACCAACAACUGAGUGACACGAGCAGAACACACUCCCAAGUGGCGCUGCUCUGUCUCGUCAACCAAAACACUUGCUAUGAUUUUGUCCUGGUGCGUGCUAGAACAUUAUAUUAUGGUUUUGCUAGAAGAUAUGGAUUUACUCCAUUAUAGCCCUAUAAUGGAGCCAGUGUGUUGGCAUCAAAGGGGCAGGAAUAACCAUGAAUGUAGGCAGGAUCAGGGUGUCUGUGGGUUUUACAGUAACACGCAUACACAGUGGGUUUCGGCAGUGCUGGUACUGCUGAGGAAGAGGUAACCGUUUGUUGUCUCAUUAAUCAAUUGCAGAAUGUCACUAUGACAAAUUACAUAUUCGCUGUAUACGGUGAUGUCCUUGUAUGUUAAGACAGUGUCACUUUGAGUCUAGAAAUAACUACAGUUGUUGCUCCCAUGUUCUUGGACACAGGAGUUAGUACUCCUCUUCAUCGUUAAUUAGGACCCAACACCAAACCAUGUGCAAUGUCAGAGUCAUAGUGACAGGUUUAUUUAUUGAAGAGAUGUUGUGGUCACCAAUACAGGUCCUGAGUUUGUUAGGCGAUUCUAAGAACCUAUGUUGCAGCUUAUACUUUGUAAAGGGGGUUUAAAGCACUGACUUAACUAGGUUAGUUAUCAUCUACAAGGUGUGUACAAUACACUGACCUGCUAAUCCCAUACCUAUUACAUCUCAACUUUAUAUUCUUAUCAGAUAAUUCUGUAAGAGAAAUUGGCCAGGGACACUUACAUGUAAAAUGAUACAAUUGGAUUAAUUAAGACUAUUUUUUAAUGUCUUCUCACUUAAAAAUAAAAUCCCAGAUCUUCCCAGAAUUCUUUCCCCAAUCCAGUACACCUCUUGCUGCUAGAAAAAAAUGGCUGUUUAUUGGAAACUGUGCAAUCAAACAUUGUUUGCCAAAACUGCUCCAACCUCUGUUAAUAAUCUGAUUGCUACACAAUCCUCCAACCACUCUUUAAUUUGUCUUAUGCAGUAAAAUGAUGGCCUUAAAGUCUGUGAAUAAAGAAAGCUGACCUUACAGGCUGCACCCGGCCAACAUACUUCCUUUUUACAAACCCAUGUGACAAGGCACAGGUCAUCACAUAUUAGACCUCUGGCUGUCCAUGCGCACCUAUAAUCCUUUCACAACCACAACAGACAGAAGUUGUAGGUGGCUGGUAAGGGUACAAGGAAGCUUUCUAACAGUGGUUCCCAACCCAGUCCUCAAGUACCCCUAACAGUCAGGAAGUUGGGGAUUGCCCAGCUGUGUUUUUAGAAAAAGAAAAAAACAUGUUGGACACAACAAGGUAAUCUCUAAAUCAUGGAUUGAUAGGGGGUACUUGAGGACUGGGUUGGGAACCCCUGCUCUGACAAGUUGUACUAAAAAAAAAUAAUCCUUCCUGUAAAUGCAUAAAUAUCAUAUUAUUGUUAAAAUAGAUCAUAUUACCCAGCAGUCCCAGAUCUGGUGACCGUUCUGAAUCAAUAAAACCAUGGUGUGGUGCUUCUUUGGACACAAAAUAGAAUCCACAAGGUACAGCGCAAAUGUGUCAUAGAACAUGUUAGUGGUUAUUUAGCUCAUAUCUGCAUAUACGAGGGCAAUUUAUCAAUGCUGCAUUCAUAGGGCACGAACAUUCGCUUUAAUCGCCAGCUGUCUAGUUUCACACAGCUGAAUUUAUUAGAAAAGCCCCUGAUGGGUCAUAUCCAUCCCACAGCGCUCAUGUCAGACAGUAAUAGUCGAAUACUACAAUACGUUUUGCAAAACAAGACAGUUCUGUUUAUAUUUCCCCGGCCUGAUAGAAGAAAUUAUUCUAAGGCAAUAACUAAAUUUAAAAAAUAAGUCAAAAAGUCCUGGGAGGGAGAGUGGAAAUAUUAUUGGUCGUAUGUAUUUAUGCUUCGUUUUAAAUUGGCUCUCAAAGCACCAUAGCCACUACAAUAUGUUGUAGUUUUUAUGGUGGUAGACAUAUUACUGCAUUUCUUUUGGCUGUUGCCCAGCAGCUUGGUUAGACACUUUUCUGAACCUUCUCCUGUUUGUAUUUGUUAGGUGUUAUGUUUUGAACCAACAUCGAGGAUGCUACUAAUAAUACUUGAUUAACACUAACAUUAGCCAUACAAGAUAAGCAGAGUUAAGAACUAAACUGUGAAAUUGUGGCCACGGAGCAGGGAAUUGCAAUUUUUAUUUCAAAGUAGCCAAGUUCAGGGGAAAAAUAUGGAGUGGAAUAAAACAAUUUACAGUUUUGAGUAUUUAUGGCUUAUAAUUUGUCAAUUCCGUGGUCCAUUCCAGACAGGAUAAUCCCAUUUUAGUGGAUUUACUAAAAGUUGUAAAAGUAGAUCAAUCCCAAUUUGAGGUUUCAGCUGAUUGAUCCAGCUUUAGAAAGUGGCUUUAGAAAGAUUCUUUAAGGUCCUAGACCUACAUCAUCCUGAACACUAACAGAGUAGGCCAUUAACAUACAAGACACAAAAAAAAAAAAAAAGUUUCUGCCGAUUAGUCCAAAUCAAAAAUCCUUGUAAUCCUCAACCAAAAAAAAAAUCUAAUCGCCUAGGAUAAGACGUCACUGGUAAAUCCCAGAUUAAUCUCUUCGUUUGGGUGCAGAGUUAAAAGGAUUUUGAUUCUUUUAAAAAAAAUUUAAAAAAGGCUAAAACGCAUUUUUGCACAAGUCUAGUACACUAAUAAAAUGUCUUAAUUCUAAGAGAUAUUGAUUAAUAAAUAGUGAGAGUAGAACACUGGAGAUAUAUUACUUUUUGCCAUGAAGUGGCAUGUUUGUAUUUUUCUGCUACCCUUCCACGAUUCUUUCUAAAUGUAUACAGUUGUUUGGCAUUUGAAGACUGUACAGGAGUAAACAUGAAACGGCAAAAUGCAUCCUUGCGCUUGCUGAAGCACAACUACCUCGGAAUGUUUAUUAAAGCAGUAUCAAUGGUUCAGUGUGCUUGUUUCUCUCUUCUCAGCACCGAGACCCCAGUAUGCUAACCCUUAUCACCCACCAAGUCUUGGAAUAUUUCAGAUCUCUGUAUAAUUCCUAAAAUAAAACAAAUGCAUGUUUCAGGCUGUAGUGGAUGGAAGAUCAACUUAAUGUAUGUAUUUAAUUAUAGCGCCAUAAAUAAAAUGGCAAAUACGCUCGAUUAACAUUCCUUCAAUAACACAGGCCCCAACCCAUCCUCUCUCCCCGCUUUUGAGAAGAUGGUUGAGGAUGCUACUCAAUUUGUGGCCCAAACAUUCUAAUGAAAUUCUAAUGGCAGAUGCUGCCAGAGUUGUUGUUGGUAAAUGUUUCUACGGAGUAACUAUCUGUGCUUUGCAGCAAUGGCACAUGAUGGUGAAACAAAUUAAAAGAUGUUUGUUGGGAACCUUUUUCUUUGUUUUUCUUUGUGAAUGUACUUUUAAGGUUUUUUUUUGUUUUGUUUUUUAGUUAUAUUAUAUUGUAACAAUUAUAUUUCAGUAACAAUGAAAUAAGUAUACAACAUAAAUAUUACACUAAACAGAUAAAAUGAAAAUCUGGAAGGGGGUCUAUAUUAUUUUAUAAACAAUAGAAUCAAUCCCAUCAGACAUAUUAUACAAGUAUUCUUAAAAUUGUCUACAAUAUUUGACCAUACAUCAAUAAAGUCUGCGAGGAAAAUUUCCAUUUGGUUA